AUGAACGCUGGCGGCGUGCCUAACACAUGCAAGUCGAACGCGAACGUCCCUUCGGGGGCUAGUAGAGUGGCGAACGGGUGAGUAACACGUGGAUAACCUGCCUAGGUGUGGGGGAUAACUUUGGGAAACCGAAGCUAAUACCGCAUACGCUCGAGGAUCGCAUGAUCCUCGCGGAAAGACCGCCUCUUCUUGAAAGCGGUUGCAUUUAGAGGGGUCCGCGGCUGAUUAGCUAGUUGGUGGGGUAAUGGCCUACCAAGGCUACGAUCUAUAGCCGGCCUGAGAGGGUGAUCGGCCACACUGGAACUGAGACACGGUCCAGACUCCUACGGGAGGCAGCAGUGGGGAAUAUUGGACAAUGGGCGAAAGCCUGAUCCAGCAACGCCGCGUGGAGGAUGAAUGUCUUCGGAUUGUAAACUCCUGUCAGAUGGGGCGAAAGGUUAUCGGUUAAUACCCGGUAACUAUGACGGUACCAUCAGAGGAAGCCCCGGCUAACUCCGUGCCAGCAGCCGCGGUAAUACGGAGGGGGCGAGCGUUAUUCGGAAUUAUUGGGCGUAAAGGGCGCGUAGGCGGUCUGACAGGUCAAGGGUGAAAUCCCUCGGCUCAACCGAGGAACUGCCUUUGAAACCGUCAGACUUGAGGCCGGGAGAGGGUGGUGGAAUUCCUAGUGUAGCGGUGAAAUGCGUAGAUAUUAGGGGGAACACCAGUGGCGAAGGCGGCCACCUGGACCGGUACUGACGCUGAGGCGCGAAAGCGUGGGUAGCAAACAGGAUUAGAUACCCUGGUAGUCCACGCCCUAAACGAUGGAUACUUUGUGCAGCGGGUAUCGACCCCUGCUGUGCAGGAGCUACGCAUUAAGUAUCCCGCCUGGGGAGUACGGUCGCAAGGCUGAAACUCAAAGGAAUUGACGGGGGCCCGCACAAGCGGUGGAGCAUGUGGUUUAAUUCGAUGCAACGCGCAGAACCUUACCUGGGCUUGAACCGCGGUGGACGUGAGCAGAGAUGUUCAUUCUCCUUCGGGAGCCGCCGUAGAGGUGCUGCAUGGCUGUCGUCAGCUCGUGUCGUGAGAUGUUGGGUAAAGUCCCGCAACGAGCGCAACCCCUGCCUUUAGUUACCAGCGGGUAAUGCCGGGAACUCUAGGGAGACUGCCCCGGAAAUCGGGGAGGAAGGUGGGGAUGACGUCAAGUCCUCAUGGCCUUUAUGUCCAGGGCUACACACGUGCUACAAUGGGUGGUACAAAGGGUCGCGAAGCCGCGAGGCAGAGCUAAUCCCAAAAAACCAUCCUCAGUUCGGAUUGCAGUCUGCAACUCGACUGCAUGAAGGUGGAAUCGCUAGUAAUCCCAGAUCAGCACGCUGGGGUGAAUACGUUCCCGGGCCUUGUACACACCGCCCGUCACAUCACGAAAGUUGGUUGUACCGGAAGUCGGUAGGCUAACCCGCAAGGGAGGCUGCUGCCCAUGGUAUGACUGGCGAUUGGGGUGA
Molecule: ribosomal RNA, 1478 nt
Filed under: uncultured prokaryote
Description: partial 16S ribosomal RNA
Rfam family: Bacterial small subunit ribosomal RNA
Source: RNAcentral